UACGUAGGGACCGAGCGUUGUCCGGAAUCAUUGGGCGUAAAGAGCGUGUAGGCGGCCACUUAAGUCCUGCGUGAAAUCUUGCGGCUCAACCGCAAGCGGUCGUGGGAAACUGGGUGGCUAGAGUGCGGGAGAGGAGAGUGGAAUUCCUGGUGCGCGGUGGAAUGCGCAGAUAUCAGGAAGAACACCCGUGGCGAAGGCGGCUCUCUGGAACGCAACUGACGCUGAGGAGCGAAAGCAUGGGGAGCGAACAGG
RNAcentral lists this ribosomal RNA (252 nucleotides) under uncultured bacterium. RNAcentral describes it as "partial 16S ribosomal RNA". It matches the Rfam family "Bacterial small subunit ribosomal RNA", at positions 524 to 776 of the family's 1533-position model. The record is from RNAcentral.